Molecule: ribosomal RNA, 429 nt
Filed under: Pseudomonadota bacterium
Lineage: Bacteria; Pseudomonadati; Pseudomonadota
Description: Proteobacteria bacterium partial 16S ribosomal RNA
Rfam family: Bacterial small subunit ribosomal RNA
Source: RNAcentral
UGGGGAAUAUUGGACAAUGGGCGAAAGCCUGAUCCAGCCAUGCCGCGUGUGUGAAGAAGGUCUUCGGAUUGUAAAGCACUUUAAGCUGGGAGGAAGGGCAGUAAGCGAAUACCUUGCUGUUUUGACGUUACCGACAGAAUAAGCACCGGCUAACUCUGUGCCAGCAGCCGCGGUAAUACAGAGGGUGCAAGCGUUAAUCGGAAUUACUGGGCGUAAAGCGCGCGUAGGUGGUUCGUUAAGUUGAAUGUGAAAGCCCCGGGCUCAACCUGGGAACUGCAUCCAAAACUGGCGAGCUAGAGUAGGGCAGAGGGUGGUGGAAUUUCCUGCGUAGCGGUGAAAUGCGUAGAUAUAGGACGGAACACCAGUGGCGAAGGCGACAACCUGGGCUCAUACUGACACUGAGGUGCGAAAGCGUCGGGAGCAAACAGG